This is a non-coding RNA of Pelobates cultripes (western spadefoot toad), 214 nucleotides long. The record is from the annotation of a GenBank genome assembly. NCBI's taxonomy places the organism in Eukaryota, Metazoa, Chordata, Amphibia, Anura, Pelobatidae.
UGCUUAAUUAAAGGGACACUGUAGGCACCGAGACCACUUCUGCCCAUUGGAGUGGUCUGGGUGCAAACUCCCAUCACCCUUAACCCUGUAGUGGUGAUUAUUGCAGUUUUUAUAAACUGCAAUAAUUACAUCUGAGGGUUAACUCCUCUAGUGGCUGUCUACCAGACUAGAGGGACUUUCGGAAUUGAAACAGACAUUUGGUCCGUUAUCUGAC